RNAcentral lists this long non-coding RNA (8030 nucleotides) under Ananas comosus (pineapple). RNAcentral describes it as "long non-coding RNA (ACOM_LNC027822)". Lineage: Eukaryota; Viridiplantae; Streptophyta; Magnoliopsida; Poales; Bromeliaceae. The record is from RNAcentral.
AUAGUGUAGCACACUGGAACUUUGCAAAUUGCGAGGUUCGAGUGUUUGAUAUGGAUCCCGAACUUUUCCACACUUGGUGGAGGUCGUAGAUGGUAUUCCGACCUAAAAGUUCGAUUUCUGGAGUUUUGGCUUUGUCCUGAGAGUUUUCACUCUCGGAGACCGGUCCCUGAUGGGAGAGACCGGUCUUCUCAGCACAGUGUCGCGACCAGCUUGAGGCAACCGGUCCCUGGCUGUGAGAGACCGGUUCCCGAACGUGUGUUUUGCGAGAAGGGUCCGAGAGACCAGUACCUGGCAGGGAGAGACCGGUUCCUGAACGUUGGUUCUGCGGGGCAGGCUGAGAGACCGGUCCCAGGUGUCGGGGAGACUGGUCCCUCAGUCCGAAAACUGCCCAGACCCGGGUGUGCGCAGAGUGGAUUUUUGAGGAACCUAAGUGGAUUUUGUUACCUUAUAGGCUAUAGAGAGCCUCUCCUCUCCCUCUCACUCUUAUUUCCUCUCCUUCACACUCUCCUUACACUUCUAGAGAGAGAAGGAGAAGGAGAAGAAGGAGAAGGAAAGGAGAGGAGCUUACUUGGAGGCCUUGGAGCAUCAUCUUCUUCCUCAUUUCUCACCUUGGUGGCUUGGAGCUUGCAGUUGGAGCCUUGUGGAGGAUCAAACUCCAACCCUACUUGGUUUAGAGCUUGGUUUGGAGCUUCUCUUGAGGUUGGUAGCUGGUAUUUCCUAUUUAAUACAAGUUUUUCUAGAUUUUACUAGAUAAAACCCUAGAUUUUGGGAUUUAGGGUUUACUUUGGAGAUUUUUAUUUGAGGGCUUUGAGACCUAAUUGAUGGGUUUAGAACCUUUAUUUAGGUUGGAUUUGAAGAACUCUAACUCUCAUUUGGAGCUUGAGAGAGGAUUUCUUUACCUAGGUGAGUUUUUCUCCACCUUAGCCUAUGUUGCUUAUUGAUUGAGCUUAGGGUUGAUCGUAAGGUUUGUUUGACCCUUGUUCCUACAUCUUUAGGGUGCUAGGAGACUCGUGGACAUCUUCGUCGGAUCUUACGAAGGGUUUCGGUAACUUCGGUGGGUUUGACUUCAUGAAAUCGAGGCAAAAUAGCCCCUAAGUAUUCGAUACUUGUCGUAACGCCAAUUCGAUUGCAUAUUUAUGUUAAAUGAGAUUUAUGUGAAUUUUAGAACACUUAAAUUGCAUGCCUUAUGUAUCAUAAAAAUUUCACUCUAUAUAGUAGGGCAUUCGGGGCAUUUUUGCAUGCAUAUGAGGAGUGUUCGUGUUAGCGACUUGGAAACGUGUCUCUUAUGUUAGAGUUUACUCAAAUUAUGCAUUUGUAAACAAUAAACUCAUGUUUGGACUUAGUUGACAAAAAGCCAUAAAGAGGCACUUGACAUAGUAAACUGUGAAACUGCAACAUAGAGACAUAGCAAUAGGCCAUUGAACAUCUUCUAUAUUCGAUGUUAGAGACAUGAUGAUAUAGAGAUAGGCCUUUGAGACAUUCGACGUAUAUUUCAUGUUUUUAGACAUGAGGACUUGGUACUUGAGACAGAUUUUUCGCUUGCUUGCCAUUGUGCUCAUUCGCACAUUCUUGUGAGGGUCGCUCCUACAAGCCGGCACUCCGGAGAUAGCCAUCGCGACAUAUGCUCGCUCGUGCGGGAUUGGGCGCCGAAAUGGGAUGCCGUGGGGAAGGCUCAUUCCUAGAGUGGGGAUGUUGACUACCACGGGACCAUUAGGCACGACGCAGGUCAGACAGCCUACGGGUGGGUCUUAUAUGAUUGGAACUUGGUGACAGAACAUGCCAUUUAGACUUUGACUAGAAUAGUAAACAAUGACAUUUUACUAUUUAGCUUGUGGACAUCAUGCUAGUGAUACCUUGGUACAUUCAUGUUAGAAUAGUCCUUUUUAUUACUUAUGCAAUUCAUGCUAAGUAGAGAUAUCAUGUUGUAGUAAGUUACAUGUUUACUCACAUAUCGAUUCUAUUGCUUUUAUUGUUACUUACCUGUUUAGCUCUUUUGGGCCUAGUGGUGCUUUCACUGAAGUUAGUAAUUGCCCACUGGGAACUAUUAUUUAAUAGUUCUCAUGCCCCUUGUUUUAUGUUUCCUUUUCAGAGCCCGAUGGACCGGCGGAGGCACGGGAUCGCGGCAAGGGAAUCGCUAGCUAGAUAGCGAGAAUUUGCUGUUGCUUAGGUAGUUUUCUCUCUUUUUGUUGUAGUUGAGAGAGAGUGAGGUUUUGUAUCCAUGUAUAGAGACCACCUAUGUAUUUACUUAUAUCUCUUGUUUCGGGUUUCCUCUUGUGCUACUUUAUGUUUUCAUUUAAUGGAUUUUUAGUUUAGGGUUUUUAUCCUCUAUUAUAGCAUCUAGAUAUACUUGCUCUGAUACUUCUAUAUGUUUUCUUUUUACUGCUUUCUUUAUCGUUUUGUUUUAUAUGCCUUAUAUGUUUUAGACAUAUGGCUGGUCUGGACACGCGCCGGGCGGGCUUCCGCUGGGUCCCGGGGCGUGACAGAUUAGUUUGGUAUCAGAGGCUAGGGUUGAGUCUUAGUGGGCCUAGCAAACCUUAGGCCGGUUGGACUAUAGGAAAUAGGCUCGUGAGAGACGAGGUCUAUUUGACUUAUAAGCGAAAGUAUUUUGAUUGGAUAUCUUUGAUAACUCUAGAAAGUAGAGUUAAAUUGAAGUGUAUAGCUCCUAACUUCGCAGAGGGUUACGUUGGCGGCCGACAACGUAACAUCGGGAGUUAGUAGUGAAGCACACUUCCUUACUUUCGCAUGAUUUGGGGUAUUACCUUCUUGAGUGGGGAUUCGAUGGCGUGAGUUUACUAACUUACGCUUUUAUGAUGUUGUAGUGAGAUACUGAUCACUCGCUCCCAAUCUGCCGGAGCGGAUAAUGCGGCAAACUUGAAGGAGGUCGAGACCUCCGCUACCUCCGGAUCUGGCGAGGUCCAAGAGUUGAGGAACCAACUUGCGGCCCUCACCGACUUAGUGACUCAGCAGGCGGAGGCGGCCUGACAGCAGACUGAGGCUGCGCGCCGGCAUGAGGCACGGAUGAAGUGCCUGGAUGACCUUCUUCUGCAGCAGGCGGUAGCUUCCAGGGAGACCGAGGCCCCUACACCGCCAGCUCUGGUUGUGGACGUCGCGCCGAGGGCGCCGUCCCCCGUGCCCAGUUCGUCGCAUGCGGCACCCGUGGCCGCGCCUCAGGAGGAGGCUUUGGCGGCGCCACCUGUUCAGGCGCCCCCGAUUGGAGCUAUUUUUCCCGUGUUGGUCGAGGGAGCGGAGCGAGACCGACUGAUGGAGCGCCUCAACGAGUUCAGAAGGUGCAGUCUCCGGAUCUUCGACGGCGAGAAGGUCGACCACUGGAUCGUGGAGAAGUGGUUGAUGCAUAUGGAGAAACUCUUCCGCGACACUUUCGUGGAGGAGAGGGAUCGAGUUUGGCUCGCCACUCACCAUCUGGACAGCGAGGCCUAUCGCUGGUGGUUGGAUCUUCAGGAGAAUGCCAACACCGACUUAGCGGCCAUCACGUGGAAGAAGUUCAAGGAGCUUCUUUUGGCGCAUUACUUCCCGACCAGCGUUAAGCAGAAGAUGGAGCAGGAUCUGCGCAACUUGCGCCAAGGUGAUCGGACUGUAGCCGAGUACGAGCGGGAGUUUGCUCGGCUUCUACACUGCGUACCUUUCGUCGUGCGGGACGACGAGGACAAGGCCCGCAUCUUCGAGCGAGGGUUGCGACCGUCAAUCUUCCGGUUUGUGCAAUCCUCUAACCUUCAAACCUACCGGGAGGUGGUGGAUCGCCGGCUCAUCGUGGAGAGCGGCGCGGAAGACGUCCAGGAGCGGCAAGAGGCUAUGGACAAGGGUAAGGCCAAGAGGCCUGCAGCUGAGGGUGUGAGCCAGACGCACUCUGGGAGGCCGCCGAAGCAUCCUAGGAGCCAGCAGUGGCUCGGCGACUCACCAUGGAGGUUUUGACCGACGCCGACCUCCCCAGUGCGUGAUCUGUGGUGGUCCCCACAUUCCACCGCAGUGCCCGCAGCGGGGAGGGAGGUAUUUCCAGUAUGGCCAGGAGGGCCACUUUUGGACCAAGUGCCCGAGAGGUUCUUUACCGGCACAGUCGAUUGCAUCGGCACCGGCUCUACCAAUCGCUAGCCACGGGACUCCGUCGACACAGUACCAGCCUGGGCGGCCACCCGUCGAGCGCCAGAGCGAGGGAUCUCGACAGGCCCCGAGUGGGCGUUUGUAUGCCGCUCAGACCGAGAAUGCGGCGUCAGCCGAGGAUGUGGUUGCAAGUAUCAUUUUACUUGAUGGCAUUAGAGUUCGUGCUUUAUUUGAUACCGGUGCAUUGCAUUCAUUUAUAGAUCGGCUGUUUGCCGAGUUGCAUAGCAUCCCUUUGAUUUUUUUGUUGCAUCCGGGACAUGUUGUAGUACCCGACCACACACUGGAUAUUAGAGAGUAUUGCCCUAGUUGCCCUGUUCAAGUAGGAGAUUGGAUCAUGCCCGUAGAUUUGCUAGCUCUGCGCAAGCUAGGGAAUUUCGAUGUGGUCUUGGGUAUGGAUUUGCUAACCAAGUAUUAUGCCACGAUUGAUUGUAAGAAUCGCACGAUUACUUUUAGAGAACCGGGGCAAACUGAGGUUGUGUAUAGAGGAUGCCGGAGUUCGCUUUUUGCGAUGUCGAUCAGCUCGUCUCGAGCUAGGCAGCUGAUCAGCCGAGGAUGUGUAGCUUACUUGGCUAGUGUUGUGUUGAGGGGCGAAGAUGACACCCCUAGGAUUGAGGAUAUUUCGGUGGUACGGGAGUUUCAGGACGUGUUUCCAGUUGAGCUACCGGGUAUGCCACCCGAUAGGGAGAUCGAGUUUGUGAUAGAUCUCAUCCCUGGGACUACUCCAAUCUCGAAGGCACCCUAUAGGAUGGCACCGGCGGAGCUAAAGGAGCUGAGGGCACAGAUACAUGAUCUGUUGGACAAGAGCUUCAUUCGACCGAGCGUCUCGCUGUGGGGAGCGCCAGUUCUGUUCAUCAAGAAAAAAGGACGGAUCACUUUGCCUAUGUGUAGACUAUCGUGAACUUAAUAAAGUCACGAUCAAGAAUAAGUAUCCGCUGCCGAGGAUCGAUGACUUGUUUGAUCAGCUUCAAGGAUCGUGUGAGUAUUCCAAGAUCGACUUGCAGUCGGGACACCACCAAUUGAAGAUCAAACCCAAGGAUGUAUCGAAGACGGCUUUUAGAAUACGGUAUGGACAUUAUGAGUUCACAGUUAUGCCGUUUGGGCUUACUAAUGCCCCGGCUGCUUUUAUGGAUCUGAUGAACCGUGUUUUCAAGCCUUACUUGGAUAGAUUUGUCGUGGUGUUCAUCGACGACAUUUUGGUUUAUUCUCGAAGUGACGCAGAUUACAAGGAGCAUUUGAGGCUUGUACGUCAAAUACUUCGGGAAAAGGAGCUGUAUGCCAAGUUGAGAAAGUGUGAAUUUUGGCUUCGAGAGGUUGCUUUUCUUGGACAUUUGAUUUUGGGAUCGGGUAUAGCUGUGGAUCCUAAAAAAAUUAAGGCUAUCAAGGAUUGGCCUAGACCGACGUGUCACGGAGAUACGGAGCUUCGUUGGAUUGGCCGGUUACUACCGGAGGUUUGUUGAGGGAUUCGCUAAGCUAUCUACUACUCUCACGAGGCUCACGCAUAAAGGUGUCAAGUUCAUCUGGAAUGAGGCAUGUGAGAGAAGCUUCCAAGAGCUGAAGCAACGACUGACGACCGCCCCUAUCCUAACCCUGCCAAUUGCUGGAGCAGAGUAUGUGGUUUACAGUGAUGCAUCUCUUAACGGAUUCGGCUGUGUUUUGAUACAGGACGGCAAGGUGAUCGCGUAUACUUCUCGCCAAUUAAAGAAAUAUGAAAAGAAUUACCCUACGCACGAUUUGGAGUUUGCGGUCGUAGUCUUCGCAUUGAAGUUAUGGCGCCACGACCUCUAUGGCGAGCGGUGUGAAGUGUACACAGAUCACAAGAGCUCGAAGUACUUGUUCACUCAGAAGGAGACUUGAGACAGCGUAGAUGGCUGGAGCUGCUCAAGGAUUAUGAUUUGACUAUUCUUUACCACCCGGGCAAGGCUAACGUGGUGGCGGAUGCACUAAGUAGGAAAUCAACAGAAAACUUAGCGAUGUAUGUUGUUACUUAACCGCAAUUGAUCGAGCAAAUGAAGCGGUUGGAGUUGGAGGUAGUGACUCCUGACACGCCUGUGAGGUUAAUGACUUUGGUGAUGCAACCCACACUCUUGGAUAGAAUUAAAGAGAAGCAAGCUUCCGAUGUGGAGUUGCGAAAGAUUAAAGGUAAAAUGGUUGAUGAUUGCACCGACGAUUUCCUUGUGGAUGACCAAGGAUUUAUGCGUUUCCGUGGACGGAUUUAUGUACCGGCAGAUUCGGGAAUUAAAGAGGAUAUUCUUCAAGAAGCACACCGAGCGCCCUAUGUUAUACAUUCGGGAGGCACCAAGAUGUACAAGGACUUGAAGUUGCUUUAUUGGUGGCCCGGGAUGAAAAAAGAUGUUGGCGAGUUUGUAGCUCGAUGUCUAACUUGCCAACAAGUGAAAGCUGAGCACCGAUUACCCACGGGAAAGCUUCAGAGUUUGCCUAUUCCCGUGUGGAAGUGGGAGAAGAUUACCAUGGAUUUCGUGACUGGAUUGCCUCGCUCUCAGGCCGGGCAUGAUGCUAUAUGGGUGAUCGUGGAUAGGUUGACGAAGUCAGCGCACUUCAUACCUAUUCAUACUAUUUGGACCGGAGAGAAGGUCGCACAAGUAUACCUUGAUGAAAUUGUGUGACUUCAUGGAGUGCCUACAUCGAUAGUAUCGGAUCGAGACACUCGGUUUGUGUCUCAUUUAUGGAGGAGUCUACAAGACGCCUUGGGCAUCCGAUUGGACUUCAGCACUGCUUUCCACCCCUAGAGUGAUGGGCAGUCGGAGCGCACCAUUCAAACUUUAGAGGAUAUGCUCCGAAUAUGUUUUAUAGACUUCUAGGGAGGAUGGUCGCAGCAUCUACCGAUGGCGGAGUUUGCUUAUAACAACAGUUAUCAAGCAAGCAUCAAGAUGGCACCUUUCGAAGCACUUUAUGGACGGAAGUGUAGAUCACCACUUCAUUGGAGCGACGUAGGCGAGAGAUUGGCUUUAGGCCCUGACGUGCUCCAGGAAGCUGAGGACAAAGUUCGAAUUGCUCGGGAGCGACUUUUGACGGCACAGAGUAGACAGAGGAGCUACACCGACCGACGACGGCGAGACUUGGAGUUCCAAGUUGGAGACCAUGUUUUCUUGAAGGUCUCGCCAACUAGAGGAAUCAAGAGGUUUGGGAUUCGGGGAAAGUUAAGCCCCCGGUUUAUUGGACCAUAUAAGAUCUUGGAACGUGUAGGUCCGGUGGCGUAUCGACUUGCUCUACCACCGAACCUAUCGGUCCUGCACAACGUCUUUCAUGUAUCGGUCCUUCGGAAGUAUGUCUUCAACCCGACUCACGUAUUGGACGCUACACCUUUGGAGUUGCGGGACGACUUGAGCUUCGAGGAGCAACCAGUGAGGAUUUUGGCUCGUGAGGUGCGAAAACUGCGGAAUCGGGAUAUUCCGUAUGUGAAGGUUCUUUGGAGCAACCACGGGGAGCGGGAGGCCACGUGGGAGCUGGAGAGCGCGCUACAGGAGCGCUAUCCCCAUCUUUUUCAGAUGGAGUCUUGAGGUAUGUGUUGGCUUUCGAGUUUCGUGGACGAAACUUCUUUUUAGGAGGGAUGAAUGUAGCACACUGGACCUUUGCAAAUUGCGAGGUUCGAGUGUUUAAUAUGGAUCCCGAACUUUUCCACACUUGGUGGAAGGUCGUAGAUGGUAUUCCGACCUAAAAGUUCGAUUUCUGGAGUUUUGGCUUUGUCCUGAGAGUUUUCACUCUCAGGGACCGGUCCCUGAUGGGAGAGACCGGUCCCCUCAGCACAGUGUCGAGACCAGCUUGAGGCAACCGGUCCCUGGCUGUGAGAGACCGGUUCCCGAACGCGUGUUUUGCGAGAAGGGUCCGAGAGACCGGUCCUUGGUAGGGAGAGACCGGUUCUCGAACGUUGGUUCUGCGGGGCAGGCUGAGAGACC